AUACGUAGGUGGCAAGCGUUGUCCGGAAUUAUUGGGCGUAAAGCGCGCGCAGGCGGUCCUUUAAGUCUGAUGUGAAAGCCCACGGCUCAACCGUGGAGGGUCAUUGGAAACUGGGGGACUUGAGUGCAGAAGAGGAAAGUGGAAUUCCAAGUGUAGCGGUGAAAUGCGUAGAGAUUUGGAGGAACACCAGUGGCGAAGGCGACUUUCUGGUCUGGAACUGACGCUGGGGCGCGAAAGCGUGGGGAGCAAACAGGAUUAGAUACCCGGGUAGUCCACGCCGUAAACGAUGAGUGCUAAGUGUUAGGGGGUUUCCGCCCCUUAGUGCUGCAGCUAACGCAUUAAGCACUCCGCCUGGGGAGUACGGUCGCAAGACUGAAACUCAAAUGAAUUGACGGGG
This 397-nucleotide ribosomal RNA is filed under the name uncultured bacterium. RNAcentral describes it as "partial 16S ribosomal RNA". It matches the Rfam family "Bacterial small subunit ribosomal RNA", at positions 523 to 918 of the family's 1533-position model. The record is from RNAcentral.